Molecule: ribosomal RNA, 440 nt
Filed under: uncultured bacterium
Lineage: Bacteria
Description: partial 16S ribosomal RNA
Rfam family: Bacterial small subunit ribosomal RNA
Source: RNAcentral
CCUACGGGUGGCAGCAGUGGGGGAUAUUGCACAAUGGGGGAAACCCUGAUGCAGCGACGCCGCGUGGGUGAAGAAGCGCCUCGGCGCGUAAAGCCCUGUCAGCAGGGAAGAAAAUGACGGUACCUGAAGAAGAAGCCCCGGCUAACUACGUGCCAGCAGCCGCGGUAAUACGUAGGGGGCCAGCGUUAUCCGGAUUGACUGGGUGUAAAGGGGGCGCAGACGGCGGUGCAAGCCAGGAGUGAAAGCCCGGGGCCCAACCCCGGGACUGCCCGUGGAACUGCGUGGCUAGAGUGCAGGAGGGGCAGGCGGAAUUCGUGGUGUAGCGGUGAAAUGCGUAGAUAUCAGGAGGAACACCGGUGGCGAAGGCGGCCUGCUGAACUGCAACUGACGUUGAGGCCCGAAAGCGUGGGGAGCAAACAGGAUUAGAUACCCUGGUAGUC